This 245-nucleotide long non-coding RNA is filed under the name Apteryx owenii (little spotted kiwi). Its description in RNAcentral is "lncRNA (ENSAOWG00000011725.1)". The record is from RNAcentral. Lineage: Eukaryota; Metazoa; Chordata; Aves; Apterygiformes; Apterygidae.
CUCGGCCCGCCGCGGCGGCUCGCGCCGUGGGUCCUGCUCGCGCUGCCUCCCUGCAGCGCCUUGCUCAGCGCGCCGCGUUAGCGUCUUUCACCUCUCUGCCUUCAAACCCAAGCGCUGGCGGAAGGAGUUUUCAUGCAUUUGUAGGUUGAUGACAAUGCUAUCAGAGGACUGGACUCCUUACUAGAAAAGAGCUUUGAAUUUACAAUUUUCAUUUCAUCCGAGCUAUUCAAGGGAAAAGAUCGUAG